CUGCCAUUUUUUUUCAACAGUCUUACCAGUGAUUGAAGCUCCCAGAGUUGCUAACAACUUGACGAUGGCAUAAUUUUCUGAUUAUAAGGUGAAUAAAGGCAAGUGGAUGAUGUGAGAUUAUUUGGAUUCUUUCACUCCUUAUUGUGACAAUUCAAUUGAUUGACAACGAUAGGAGACUAAUCCAGAAGAAAAGCUAAUAUGGGUUUCUUUUUCUUUUCUUUUCUUUUUUGGAAGCCCUUAGGUCACAGCUCUUUGCAUGAGCUUGGGUUGUCAAAGAACCAGAUGAGUUUUUGAUUUUUGAGUGGGCGAUGAUUGCUUGAUAUUCAACUAGCAGGGUAAAUUACAUCAAGUGUUUUGUGAAUUUGUGGAUAGUUUUAACUGGGUCUAUUAUAUUUUUUGACAGUGAUAAAUUUAAUUAUAAUUAUAUUGAAAUUCAGAAAUAGAUGAUUGCAGAUAUUUUGGUUCUAAAGCUGUCGGUGGAGAUGGUGAAGUUGAAGGAUAUUCAAGAUUGCUACAGUGAAGAUGUGGUGGGAUUUAAAGAUAGGGUUUGUGAAAUCAAUGUAUUUGUACGGCAUUGACAACAUAAGAUAUGGUGAUGUACGUAUUCAUUAUUUAUAGGUGAAAUGGUAUUACUUGUUACUUCUCUUUCUUACCAUAAAUUGAAAUGCCAAUUGCACGGAUUUGGGUUGAGUUUCACCAUCUCUAUAUACAAGUAUUUGUAUAUAUUUAAACAUAUUCAACUCCAUCCAUCAACACUAACUUACUAUUUCAAAAAAAAAAAAAAGAUCGGAUUCGGAC
RNAcentral lists this long non-coding RNA (798 nucleotides) under Carica papaya (papaya). Its description in RNAcentral is "long non-coding RNA (CPAP_LNC012014)". Lineage: Eukaryota; Viridiplantae; Streptophyta; Magnoliopsida; Brassicales; Caricaceae. The record is from RNAcentral.